This 1435-nucleotide ribosomal RNA is filed under the name uncultured organism. RNAcentral's name for it is "16S ribosomal RNA". It matches the Rfam family "Bacterial small subunit ribosomal RNA". The record is from RNAcentral.
GCUUAACACAUGCAAGUCGAGGGGCAGCAUGGUCUUAGCUUGCUAAGGCCGAUGGCGACCGGCGCACGGGUGAGUAACACGUAUCCAACCUGCCGUCUACUCUUGGACAGCCUUCUGAAAGGAAGAUUAAUACAAGAUGGCAUCAUGAGUCCGCAUGUUCACAUGAUUAAAGGUAUUCCGGUAGACGAUGGGGGUGCGUUCCAUUAGAUAGUAGGCGGGGUAACGGCCCACCUAGUCUUCGAUGGAUAGGGGUUCUGAGAGGAAGGUCCCCCACAUUGGAACUGAGACACGGUCCAAACUCCUACGGGAGGCAGCAGUGAGGAAUAUUGGUCAAUGGGCGAGAGCCUGAACCAGCCAAGUAGCGUGAAGGAUGACUGCCCUAUGGGUUGUAAACUUCUUUUAUAAAGGAAUAAAGUCGGGUAUGGAUACCCGUUUGCAUGUACUUUAUGAAUAAGGAUCGGCUAACUCCGUGCCAGCAGCCGCGGUAAUACGGAGGAUCCGAGCGUUAUCCGGAUUUAUUGGGUUUAAAGGGAGCGUAGAUGGAUGUUUAAGUCAGUUGUGAAAGUUUGCGGCUCAACCGUAAAAUUGCAGUUGAUACUGGAUAUCUUGAGUGCAGUUGAGGCAGGCGGAAUUCGUGGUGUAGCGGUGAAAUGCUUAGAUAUCACGAAGAACUCCGAUUGCGAAGGCAGCCUGCUAAGCUGCAACUGACAUUGAGGCUCGAAAGUGUGGGUAUCAAACAGGAUUAGAUACCCUGGUAGUCCACACGGUAAACGAUGAAUACUCGCUGUUUGCGAUAUACUGCAAGCGGCCAAGCGAAAGCGUUAAGUAUUCCACCUGGGGAGUACGCCGGCAACGGUGAAACUCAAAGGAAUUGACGGGGGCCCGCACAAGCGGAGGAACAUGUGGUUUAAUUCGAUGAUACGCGAGGAACCUUACCCGGGCUUAAAUUGCAGAUGAAUUACGGUGAAAGCCGUAAGCCGCAAGGCAUCUGUGAAGGUGCUGCAUGGUUGUCGUCAGCUCGUGCCGUGAGGUGUCGGCUUAAGUGCCAUAACGAGCGCAACCCUUGUUGUCAGUUACUAACAGGUUCCGCUGAGGACUCUGACAAGACUGCCAUCGUAAGAUGUGAGGAAGGUGGGGAUGACGUCAAAUCAGCACGGCCCUUACGUCCGGGGCUACACACGUGUUACAAUGGGGGGUACAGAGGGCCGCUACCACGCGAGUGGAUGCCAAUCCCCAAAACCUCUCUCAGUUCGGACUGGAGUCUGCAACCCGACUCCACGAAGCUGGAUUCGCUAGUAAUCGCGCAUCAGCCACGGCGCGGUGAAUACGUUCCCGGGCCUUGUACACACCGCCCGUCAAGCCAUGGGAGCCGGGGGUACCUGAAGUGCGUAACCGCGAGGAGCGCCCUAGGGUAAAACUGGUGACUGGGGCUAAG